This 465-nucleotide ribosomal RNA is filed under the name uncultured bacterium. Its description in RNAcentral is "partial 16S ribosomal RNA". It matches the Rfam family "Bacterial small subunit ribosomal RNA", at positions 29 to 507 of the family's 1533-position model. The record is from RNAcentral.
AUGAACGCUGGCGGCGUGCUUCACACCUGCAAGUCGAACGAUGAAGCCCAGCUUGCUGGGUGGAUUAGUGGCGAACGGGUGAGUAACACGUGAGUAACCUGCCCUUAACUCUGGGAUAAGCCUGGGAAACUGGGUCUAAUACCGGAUAGGAGCGUCCACCGCAUGGUGGGUGUUGGAAAGAUUUAUCGGUUUUGGAUGGACUCGCGGCCUAUCAGCUUGUUGGUGAGGUAAUGGCUCACCAAGGCGACGACGGGUAGCCGGCCUGAGAGGGUGACCGGCCACACUGGGACUGAGACACGGCCCAGACUCCUACGGGAGGCAGCAGUGGGGAAUAUUGCACAAUGGGCGCAAGCCUGAUGCAGCGACGCCGCGUGAGGGAUGACGGCCUUCGGGUUGUAAACCUCUUUCAGUAGGGAAGAAGCGAAAGUGACGGUACCUGCAGAAGAAGCACCGGCUAACUACGUG